Arabidopsis lyrata subsp. lyrata is the source of this 109-nucleotide long non-coding RNA. RefSeq lists it as uncharacterized. The record is from RefSeq and is a predicted model, not a curated record. The transcript has 3 exons. Lineage: Eukaryota; Viridiplantae; Streptophyta; Magnoliopsida; Brassicales; Brassicaceae.
AUUAAUUUAUAGAGGUUUUACUAUAUACUCUCUCCGUUCUUUAAUAAGUGAUGUUUUAAACUUCUAAUUUUGUUCUUAAAUAGAUGAUGUUUUCAGUUUUCAAUGCAAA